UUGACCUCGGAUCAGGUAGGGAUACCCGCUGAACUUAAGCAUAUCAAUAAGCGGAGGAAAAGAAACCAACAGGGAUUGCCUCAGUAACGGCGAGUGAAGCGGCAAGAGCUCAAAUUUGAAAUCUGGCCCCCUCGGGGUCCGAGUUGUAAUUUGUAGAGGAUGCUUCGGGUGCGGCCGCGGUCUAAGUCCCCUGGAACGGGGCGUCGUAGAGGGUGAGAAUCCCGUCUUUGACCGGCCGGUCACGCCCGUGUGAAGCUCCUUCGACGAGUCGAGUUGUUUGGGAAUGCAGCUCUAAAUGGGUGGUAAAUUUCAUCUAAAGCUAAAUACUGGUCGGAGACCGAUAGCGCACAAGUAGAGUGAUCGAAAGAUGAAAAGCACUUUGAAAAGAGAGUUAAACAGCAUGUGAAAUUGUUGAAAGGGAAGCGCUUGCGAUCAGAGUCGUCUGCGGGGGCUCAGCGGGCAUUCUUUGCCCGUGCACUCCCCCGCGGUCGGGCCAGCGUCGGUUUUGACGGCCGGUCAAAGGCCCCCGGAAUGUGUCGCCUCUCGGGGCGUCUUAUAGCCGGGGGUGCAAUGCGGCCUGUCGGGACCGAGGAACGCGCUCCGGCACGGACGCUGGCUUAAUGGUCGUAAGCGACC
This 636-nucleotide ribosomal RNA is filed under the name Emmonsiellopsis terrestris. RNAcentral's name for it is "eukaryotic LSU rRNA". It matches the Rfam family "Eukaryotic large subunit ribosomal RNA", at positions 1 to 649 of the family's 3401-position model. The record is from RNAcentral. Lineage: Eukaryota; Fungi; Ascomycota; Eurotiomycetes; Onygenales; Ajellomycetaceae.